This 253-nucleotide ribosomal RNA is filed under the name uncultured bacterium. RNAcentral describes it as "partial 16S ribosomal RNA". It matches the Rfam family "Bacterial small subunit ribosomal RNA", at positions 524 to 776 of the family's 1533-position model. The record is from RNAcentral.
UACGAAGGUGGCAAGCGUUGUUCGGAUUCAUUGGGCGUAAAGGGUGCGUAGGUGGCGCGCUAAGUCAGGUGUGAAAUUUCGGAGCUUAACUCCGAAACUGCAUUUGAUACUGGUGUGCUUGAGGACUGGAGAGGAGACUGGAAUUUACGGUGUAGCAGUGAAAUGCGUAGAGAUCGUAAGGAAGACCAGUGGCGAAGGCGGGUCUCUGGACAGUUCCUGACACUGAGGCACGAAGGCCAGGGGAGCAAACGGG